This 429-nucleotide ribosomal RNA is filed under the name Chloroflexota bacterium. RNAcentral describes it as "Chloroflexi bacterium partial 16S ribosomal RNA". It matches the Rfam family "Bacterial small subunit ribosomal RNA", at positions 355 to 776 of the family's 1533-position model. Lineage: Bacteria; Bacillati; Chloroflexota. The record is from RNAcentral.
UGGGGAAUAUUGCACAAUGGGCGCAAGCCUGAUGCAGCCAUGCCGCGUGUAUGAAGAAGGCCUUCGGGUUGUAAAGUACUUUCAGUCGGGAGGAAGGUGUCAAGGUUAAUAACCUUGGCAAUUGACGUUACCGACAGAAGAAGCACCGGCUAACUCCGUGCCAGCAGCCGCGGUAAUACGGAGGGUGCAAGCGUUAAUCGGAAUUACUGGGCGUAAAGCGCACGCAGGCGGUUGAUUGAGUCAGAUGUGAAAUCCCCGGGCUUAACCUGGGAAUUGGAUCUGAUACUGGUCAGCUAGAGUCUUGUAGAGGGGGGUAGAAUUCCAUGUGUAGCGGUGAAAUGCGUAGAGAUGUGGAGGAAUACCGGUGGCGAAGGCGGCCCCCUGGACAAAGACUGACGCUCAGGUGCGAAAGCGUGGGGAGCAAACAGG